UAAUCUUUCGCUCAUUUGUCGACAGCAAAACUUCUGACAAUGGAAGCAAUAAGAUUCUCUAACGUGUCAGCUCUUCUUAUACUGCUGCUACUGUCACUGUCUCUCCGUGCGACGUCAAAAGACCAAACUGUUUCAUGCACAAUGUGUACCUCUUGCGACAAUCCAUGUAACCCUGUUCCGUCUUCUUCUCCGCCACCUACUCCUCCGUCCGGCGGUGGCUCUUAUUAUUAUUCUCCUCCUCCUCCUACUCCUCCGAGCUCCGGCGGCGGCGGCUCUUAUUAUUAUCCUCCUCCUUCAACUUCCGGUGGUGGUAAAUACCCUCCUCCGUACGGAGACGGUGGACAAAGUUACUAUUAUCCGCCUGCGUCUUACGGUAACUACCCGAUGCCGCCUCCCCCGAAUCCCAUCGUUCCUUAUUUUCCGUUUUACUAUCACAUUCCUCCUCCGGGAGAUUCUGGAUCGGAUCGUUUAGUGAGUUCAUUUCUCUUUGUUUUGUUCUCCGUCUUGCUUUGUUUUGGGUGAAUGAUCAUGUUUUACUACUACUUUUUACCUUUUUAACUAUGCUACUAUUUUCUUACUUUCUGUUGACAAUUUGUGAUUAACAUCAUAAUUACUCGUUGUUAAGAAUCUAUAUAAGCCUAAAAAGUAUUUAUAAAACUUUUUCUUUACUAAGGAAUAAGAGUUUUUGUUGUUGUUGUGUGGUAGUUUGAGUUACUUUGUAAAUAAGGAAGAAGCAUACAAGUCAAACUAGUUUCACUUUGCCCUAUUUUGUCGGUAAGAUUAAUCAUGAAGCAAUACAUAAGAAAGCAUUAAUUAAACAUCAAAACUACUAACAUAACCAACACAAAUUGAGCCAAUCACAUCCCUCUGAUGAUAGCCAUAAGUUAUUCACUGACCCAUGUGAUCGUAUCUUCUUCUUUUUCAUCUCUUACUUUUUUUAGAUUUGCCUUUCUAAGAUAUAACUUUAGUCUUUAGUUAUGCGUCUCCAAAAGAAAAUGCGAAAAUAGCCUGGUUAGCACGUGCGAGUAAUGGGUUUGCUAUGGCCCCACGAAGCCCGGUUCAACAUGAACUCUGUUUAAUCUGGUACACAAAUUGACUAGUUGGCAUGUUUGUUCUUUGUUUCAUUGUCAUGGUGAAUUCAGAUGACUAUCUUGGACUAAAUUAUGAUUUUAAUCAUCAAGACUGUACCAAUUUUCAUAUAUCGGGAAUGAAUUGAUGAGAGAGUAACCGUGGUUUAAAUCAAUAUACCAAACCGGUCGAUUGCAUCUUCUGAACUAAGAAGGCUCGUUAAGAUUGAAAGGCCUUUUAUAGCUUUUUAUUCCCUUUAAUGCCUUUCCUUACCCUCUGGGCUCUGACAAAACUUGUUGAUAAUUUUUUUUAAAAAGUAAGGCAGCACCAAAACCAACACUGCAUAGUGCAUACAAAUAAGAUUUUUACUUGGGUUGCAUUCAUCUCGUUUUACAUUUUCAUUCUUCAUUCAUGAAACCAAGAUGACAUUCUUCAAUCCUACAUUCCGCGAUUCUAUUCAAUCCUAAAGCAAGAAAGUGUUUCCUCAGUACAAGACUGACUUCACAUGUUGUUGUCAAUGAUAUCACGCAUCAUCUGUAUUGGAAUCAGCCCUUCUGUCCUGAUUGCAUCUUUGCUUGGGUCAGGACUGAUGAAGAACAAUGUAGGUAAUCCCCGAACCUGCAUUCAUAUCAUCAAGAUUUUGUUAUUGUAACGAAUUACAUUGAUAUGCUGAGAGCAGACUGAUGAGCAAAAAAAAUAGAAGGUGAGAGUAAGAGUUUACCUGCAUGUCGCGAGCAAACUCGUACUCAUCAUCUGUAUCAACUUUCACAAUCAUUGCAUUGCAUCUAGAUAACGACUGAUAAACAGUCGUAGUUUGAUCUUUGGAUAGUAGUAGUUCAGUCGUUAUAUUUUGCGACUUAAUUGCGUCUAUUUUACGACUACAACAACCAGUGAUAAAAUAGUCGUAAUUAAGUCGCAAAAUUGCGACUGAUUAACAACUCCUCGUAUUAGCGACACAUCAAUUUGUGACCACAGUCGCAAAUCAGUCGUUAUGUUACGUUUUGCGACUGAAUAACUACUGAAUAUUGCAGUUGGUAAAUAAAUGUUUUCUUGUAGUGAUAACAAAUUUAUAAAACUUCUAGUCUUAUUGUUUGAUGCAAGGUUCGAAGGAUGAUAAUUGGCUUAAGAAAAUCGCAAUAUUGUAAUAGAUAAUCUGCUGAUUUUAAACUCGAGUGCGACAUGAGUCAUCUCCAAACCUGUAAGAAAAAAGUAUACAAAAAGAAGUUGCAUGUGAGGGAAGGGGGAUAAAGUGGUGGCAAUACUCAUCAUCUUCUUUAUAAAACAAACAAGGAAGAAUCUGAUACACAUUUUGGCAGCCAACACAUAUAGAUCUUUGUCUCCCUUUGCCUUUGUUGUUUUGUUAGACUCUCUCUUUCUUUCGUUUUCAAAGUUUCAAAUUACUUCAACCCACAUUCACAUUACAUAAGAUCAAUAAUGGUAAACAUUCAAAGGCAAAAUUCAAUUUUGCCUCUGUCACUUGUGCAAAUUUGGAAGACUUUUUUCUUAAAUGCAAUUAAAUUCUAUUUGCUAUUUUGUUACAUGAUGAUGACACGGAUCCUUUUGCAUCAAUGUAACUUUAUAUGUAAACUGAAAACCUUUUAUAUCAAUAUAGGGUGCCGACUUCCAGUGGGCCUAUAAUUGUACUCCAAGACCUAAUUUCACUUACUUUCAAAACUCAUCCAGCUAUAUCUGACGUAACAACUAUCUAUUCUUACGAGGAGAUACAAUGCUAUCUCGAGUCAGUUCCCGUUUUAAAAUGAAUCUACUCAUUAAAAAAUACCAAUGUCAAUUUUUUUCUCAGUAAUUUUUGUAAUCCUUUGGAAAAUCAUGAUAUGAAUACCAAUGCAACAAAACAUUUUAGGUUCCGAAAAUAUUUUGUCCAAGGUGGUAGAGUUACGUUUGAUCGUUUACUUCAAACUAUGCAAUAUCUUAGGUGCUCGUGGUGAUACAGUAUCACUCUACCUUGAGAUCAUUACUCCAUCUAAGCUGAUAAUUCUAAUCGAUGAGAUGAUGAAUGAAUGCAUUCAAUCAAUCAAGUUUUGAAAGGGAGUAGAAUUAUGUCAUAGCAGAAUUACUAAUGGUAUGUAGUUAAGUUUUUACUAUACACCAUAUUGAUUUUAUGUAGCCUUGGCCUAAUGCUUAAAAUGAGUAAAAAUAAUAUAUACCGUCCAAGACUCUAAAUAUACGAAUAUAGUCACACACUUACAAAUUAUAGAUGUUAUAAGAACAUGUCAUAUAGAAAAUACACAGCUUUUGAAUAUAUAAAAAAUAACUUUUCAAAUAAUAAAAAUAAAUAAAAUACGAAUAUCCUUAAUAAAGAGAGGUACACUUCUACUCUGAGCCUCUGAAUGUGCUUCUUCCUCUCUCUCUCUCUCCAUAUCCCUACCUUUCAUCUUCUUUUCCCCUUAUCACUUGAUCUUUAAUACUCCUAAUCUUUCGCUCAUUUGUCGACAGCAAAACUUCUGACAAUGGAAGCAAUAAGAUUCUCUAACGUGUCAGCUCUUCUUAUACUGCUGCUACUGUCACUGUCUCUCCGUGCGACGUCAAAAGACCAAACUGUUUCAUGCACAAUGUGUACCUCUUGCGACAAUCCAUGUAACCCUGUUCCGUCUUCUUCUCCGCCACCUACUCCUCCGUCCGGCGGUGGCUCUUAUUAUUAUUCUCCUCCUCCUCCUACUCCUCCGAGCUCCGGCGGCGGCGGCUCUUAUUAUUAUCCUCCUCCUUCAACUUCCGGUGGUGGUAAAUACCCUCCUCCGUACGGAGA
This 3832-nucleotide long non-coding RNA is filed under the name Brassica napus (rape). RNAcentral's name for it is "long non-coding RNA (BNAP_LNC012035)". Lineage: Eukaryota; Viridiplantae; Streptophyta; Magnoliopsida; Brassicales; Brassicaceae. The record is from RNAcentral.